GAGUGGAUGGGGGCCGAGAUGGCCUUCUUCCUUCCUCUUUUUCUCCCUCCGGGGCUGAGGGGAGGGUUUGGGGAGAGUAGGAUAGAGUGGAGCUGGGUACGUGGGGUAGCGGCGGACCUGGGGAUGAGGCAACAGUGCUAGGAUAUUGUGAGACUGGAGGCGAGGUCGAGGGGGUGGAGCUAAGUAGAGAAUCUCUGGGGCGCUAGGGUGAGGAGGGGUGAGGAGGUGGAGCCAGGGCGGGGUUGGGAUUUGGAGGUGGACCCCAGGGGUGUGAGGAAGUAAUCUAAGAGUAAUGGGGUGGGGCUACGUUCAAGGGGCAGGGCUGAAGGCAGGACUAGGAGUUUAAAUAGGUCAAGUAAGAAUGGGAGAGGGGUAGAAUCAUGGAUGUAGCUGUGGGCAGGAUUGGAGUUUUGAGGUCUAACCAAGUAGGGUAAAUUAGAAUAGAAAUGCAGAUUCCAUUAGAACGGCCCAACCCCGUCUCCACCUCCAUCACCGCAAGCCAGGUUGCCAACCAGGGACCUUCCCAGGAGCGGGGUUAGAGUCUGGGGCAGAGCCAAGGAAGAUCUGAGGCGGGCACCGAGGGCCAGGAGACCGCGGAGAUCACCGACUUCCAGAGGGCCUCCCCGAAUUCCUGAAGACGCUGCUGGGAGGGCACUGAAGCUUCCCCGCCUUGAUGGGGUGGGGGCGGCAGGAGGGGGUUAGUCUGGAUUCCCAGGCUGCGCUCUCUGCUCCCCGGAGACCGCUCUGGAUCCCAUGGCUUUAGGGAGAGGGAGAAAUUGAGGGUGGUGGGGAGGAGUUGGGGAAGGGGCGUGAUUGGGUUGUGGGGCAGAGCUGGAGCUUCGGGGUGUGUUUAGACCUCAGGACACUAAGUACUAAGAAGGUCCCGUCGGGGGAGUGGUUAGGAUGCCUGGGCGGGGCCAGAAUUCUGGUGGAUGGAGUUAGAACAUAGGACGCCCGUAGAUGUGGGAUGGGUCCGCGAGAGCCGGUUUAGAUGGGAGUUCCUAAUGCGGGUGUGGGGUUCAGCCCUCGGUCGAGGGCGUGUUCAGUACGGUGCUAGAACCAGUGGAGUGAGGCGGAGGAAAGGGGUGGAGUCUGGACUAAAGAGCGUGAAUCCAGGGAGGAAAGAGGGUGCUUUCGAAUGCUAGAGUCGAGUCUGAUUCAGAGAAAGGCAAGUUAGAAGCGGAGCGGGCCUGCGGCUAAGGGGGGGGUGCUUUGUAAGGCCUGAACCUCGCAAGGUCGUGGGGCUCGGAGGCGGGGCUAGAUGCCAGAGAGAAGUCUGAGCCCCGAAAAGGGACGAGGUUAGGGCAGGGGGAGGAGGCCAGAAAGGGGAGGGUGGGGCCAGGCGCUUGGCGGGCUCGCAGGUAAGAGGUGUGGGCAUCACACCGAAGCCUGACGGUAGUCGAAAGAGCAGAGAGCUGUCUUCGCAGGCCUGGGGCGGGGUCAGAGCUAAGUAAGGGGUGGGUUCGGAACACUAGUUAAGCCUUAGCUUGUAAUGGUUGGCUGGAGAACGGCGAGGGGGCGGUCCCAGAGCGGGGAGGAGACCCGCCCUCCCGGGGGCGUGACCAUGCUGGCGGGGGCGGGGUUGGACGAGGUAGAUUUAGAACGCGGAGGC
Long non-coding RNA from Ailuropoda melanoleuca (giant panda), 1612 nucleotides. RefSeq lists it as uncharacterized. The transcript has 3 exons. Lineage: Eukaryota; Metazoa; Chordata; Mammalia; Carnivora; Ursidae. The record is from RefSeq and is a predicted model, not a curated record.